This 1802-nucleotide small RNA is filed under the name Pan troglodytes (chimpanzee). RNAcentral describes it as "retained intron". The record is from RNAcentral. Lineage: Eukaryota; Metazoa; Chordata; Mammalia; Primates; Hominidae.
GGUUAGGAGGAGCUAGGCUGCCAUCGGGCCGGUGCAGAUACGGGGUUGCUCUUUUGCUCAUAAGAGGGGCUUCGCUGGCAGUCUGAACGGCAAGCUUGAGUCAGGACCCUUAAUUAAGAUCCUCAAUUGGCUGGAGGGCAGAUCUCGCGAGUAGGGUACAAGGCACUAUGAAAUGAUCUAGUUUCGUGGGUGAGGGGCUGAAGGGCCUAUGAUGCACGGAGGCGGGGAAAGGAUUUAGAGAUAACAUGGUUUGAAAGGCGGGACCUGGUGCGGGGACGCUCUUGGGAGGAGUCUUCUCCCCAGCCUUAGCUGGUUUCAUGAUUUCUUUGCGUCUGUAGGCAACGCGGUAAAAAUAUUGCUUCGGUGGGUGACGCGGUACAGCUGCCCAAGGGCGUUCGUAACGGGAAUGCCGAAGCGUGGGAAAAAGGGAGCGGUGGCAGAAGACGGGGAUGAGCUCAGGACAGGUAAGGGAAUGAAAUCAGCCCUUCUUCCUAGAAGCUGCGGCGGGGGUGUUUGUCAUUCCCUUGAUGUACGGCAAGUAGGGGCCGACUCAUUUUUGCAGGGGUUUGUGAAGAAGUCGCAGGAACCGUAGGCUUUCGUUGGGUCUAUAGUUAACGCCGGAUCGCAGUUGGAAACCACCAGCUUUUUGUCAGUAUAUAUUACUCAUUUUAUAGAGCCAGAGGCCAAGAAGAGUAAGACGGCCGCAAAGAAAAAUGACAAAGAGGCAGCAGGAGAGGGCCCAGCCCUGUAUGAGGACCCCCCAGAUCAGAAAACCUCACCCAGUGGCAAACCUGCCACACUCAAGAUCUGCUCUUGGAAUGUGGAUGGGCUUCGAGCCUGGAUUAAGAAGAAAGGAUUAGAUUGGGUAAAGGAAGAAGCCCCAGAUAUACUGUGCCUUCAAGAGACCAAAUGUUCAGAGAACAAACUACCAGCUGAACUUCAGGAGCUGCCUGGACUCUCUCAUCAAUACUGGUCAGCUCCUUCGGACAAGGAAGGGUACAGUGGCGUGGGCCUGCUUUCCCGCCAGUGCCCACUCAAAGUUUCUUACGGCAUAGGCGAGGAGGAGCAUGAUCAGGAAGGCCGGGUGAUUGUGGCUGAAUUUGACUCGUUUGUGCUGGUAACAGCAUAUGUACCUAAUGCAGGCCGAGGUCUGGUACGACUGGAGUACCGGCAGCGCUGGGAUGAAGCCUUUCGCAAGUUCCUGAAGGGCCUGGCUUCCCGAAAGCCCCUUGUGCUGUGUGGAGACCUCAAUGUGGCACAUGAAGAAAUUGACCUUCGCAACCCCAAGGGGAACAAAAAGAAUGCUGGCUUCACGCCACAAGAGCGCCAAGGCUUCGGGGAAUUACUGCAGGCUGUGCCACUGGCUGACAGCUUUAGGCACCUCUACCCCAACACACCCUAUGCCUACACCUUUUGGACUUAUAUGAUGAAUGCUCGAUCCAAGAAUGUUGGUUGGCGCCUUGAUUACUUUUUGUUGUCCCACUCUCUGUUACCUGCAUUGUGUGACAGCAAGAUCCGUUCCAAGGCCCUCGGCAGUGAUCACUGUCCCAUCACCCUAUACCUAGCACUGUGACACCACCCCUAAAUCACUUUGAGCCUGGGAAAUAAGCCCCCUCAACUACCAUUCCUUCUUUAAACACUCUUCAGAGAAAUCUGCAUUCUAUUUCUCAUGUAUAAAACUAGGAAUCCUCCAACCAGGCUCCUGUGAUAGAAUUCUUUUAAGCCCAAGAUUUUUUAUUUGAGGGUUUUUUGUUUUUAAAAAAAAAUUGAACAAAGACUACUAAUGACUUUGUUUGAAUUAU